Molecule: ribosomal RNA, 551 nt
Filed under: uncultured eukaryote
Lineage: Eukaryota
Description: SSU rRNA
Rfam family: Eukaryotic small subunit ribosomal RNA
Source: RNAcentral
GUAGUCAUAUGCUUGUCUCAAAGAUUAAGCCAUGCAUGUCUAAGUAUAAGCAAUUAUACGGCGAAACUGCGAAUGGCUCAUUAUAUAAGUUAUCGUUUAUUUGAUAGUACUUUCCUACUUGGAUAACCGUGGUAAUUCUAGAGCUAAUACAUGCUAAAAAUCCCGACUUCGGAAGGGAUGUAUUUAUUAGAUUAAAAACCAAUGCCCUUCGGGGCUCACUGGUGAUUCAUGAUAACUUCACGGAUCGCACGGCCUUGCGCCGGCGAUGGUUCAUUCAAAUUUCUUCCCUAUCAACUUUCGAUGUUCGGGUCUUGGCCAAACAUGGUUGCAACGGGUAACGGAGGGUUAGGGCUCGACCCCGGAGAAGGAGCCUGAGAAACGGCUACUACAUCCAAGGAAGGCAGCAGGCGCGCAAAUUACCCAAUCCAGAUACGGGGAGGUAGUGACAAUAAAUACUGAUACAGGGCUCUUUUGGGUCCUGUAAUUGGAAUGAGUACAAUUUAAAUCCCUUAACGAGGAACAAUUGGAGGGCAAGUCUGGUGCCAGCAGCC